CUUCGGUACACCCCGAAGGCUGAACUGCUCGUGAGAUAUGGAUAUUACAAAUGGUCUGGAGUGGUCACGAGACCAACAUCCUCUGGCUGGGUAAGCUGUGGACCAUAGAAGAAACUCCAAGAUCAGCCAUUAAGAAUGCCAGGAUAGCCCCAAAUGUGAACUGUUACCUCAGACCCAGACAGGUGCCAGAGGUGUCCUCAAGGCUGAUGGAGCCUGGCAUUGGCUUGCUCGCUGUGAUCAGCCGCUGACAACCUGACAGGAUCACUUUCCCUGAUUACAUUUUAAACUUGGACUGAACCACACUCAGUUGCUUUUCGAAUGAGAGAGAGGCAGGCGGCAAGACAAGGAAGACCUGUCAUAGAAGGAGGUUUGCCCAGUCUUCAGGAUCACAGGACACACAGCGUCGCUUCCACAUUUCAACCUAACUAAAACACUGCAUCCAAUAAAUUGUCAUCGGGUGAGAAUGGAAACAUUCGAGAUAGUGCACAAACUCCAUCUGGUACCGUGUGAAAUCGAAGAGGAAUGUUCAGGGGUGAGGAGUGGAAGAAGCCAUGAUGUACCCCCUACUGGAAACUAGCUCCAGUUAGUUGUCAAAAGGCAUUUUCUGACCGAAUACCAUCAUUUCUUAGUGUAGUAGUAAAAAAAAAAAAAAAAGGAAUCACUGAGGCUAUAACAUUCUCUUCUAGGCAAGUGAUGAAGAAUGCUGACUUGGCUAUUUUAUUGCCUCCACCUUUCCUACUGUGGUAGGUAGUUUGCUGAUAGGUUUAGUUUUGGAUAGCAAUUAAUGUUACAUAAUUACUGGCAGGGAAGCACCACUUAUGUAUCAGUAGCUUUUAAAUGCUAGCAGGGUCAUGGCUACAAACUAGGACUUGUCUGUGCAAGACACAAACAAUUGGCCAGGUCAUUCAUUAUUUCUCCUUCGGUUGCCCAUUCUAAAUGCCAGCUUGAGGGAGCUGGAUGCUUCCUUGGUCUUGUACCAAGGUUCUCAGGGUUCAUUAACACAUCCACAGAUCCUCAUAGUCAUCAGGAUACAAACUUCAGUAAGGGUUAGUGUUAUUACAGUAGAACUUUCGAUAUGAUUACAAUCCAAUGAGUCUUUUAGGUUCCAUGCAUUUGGGGAGAGGGUCUAAUGUACCCCAGACUGGUCUCAACCUCAAUAAGUAGAGGAGAUUGGCCUUGAAUUUCUGCUUCUCCUAAGGAUCAGGAUUACAGAUGUGCACCAGUACACCCGAUUUGUGGGGUUCUGAGAAUCGAACUCAGGGCUUCAUGAAUGCUAGGCAAGCACUCUACCAACUGAGCUAUAUAACCCAGGGGUUUCCGUUUUUAACACUGGUGUUAACUCGAACACACUUGCUUAUUAAUACCAUCCUGUUGAUGUUUACAGCACUCUUCAGGUGGAGGGGAUGUGUUUUCUGCCUCUAAGGUCAAAGUUCACCACUAUUAGGUGCAGUUGAAUUUUUCACAUUAUCCACAGACCUUGCCUGGCAAACUGCUACUUUUAGUGAUCCUCUGAAGACAGACAGCAAGGUCAGCAGCCCCCAUUGAUCCCUUGUUACAUGACCAACAUCUCUGGGCAGUAAAUUGUGUGUUGACACAUAUCAUUGUUAAAAAGCAAGCUUAAAAACCAAUUACUCAGCUUGGCAAGGAAGAUUUUUGCUCUUCUCCCAAAAUAUUUCCAUGGAAUUUCCUUCAGGACCUAAGUAACAUAGGGAAAUUGAAGGUGAUAGAAACAAGACUAGGCAAACAUGCAUCUGCAUUUACAAUAGCAAGCAACUUUGCCCACAGCCUGUAAUUCUUAAAUCUUCAUUUGAUGUGUGGAUAAUUUUUCUAAGGGCAGAAUUUCUUAGUUCACUGAUUCAUGAUGCUCCCACAUUAUUGAUGAAAUUAAGGUAAUAUUGAAAGUGACAGCACUGUGAGGCAAUCUUAAACUGCCUUUUUAUUACACGCAAUUAGCAGUAGAAUUGAGAACCACUUUCUAAUAUAAAAUCGCCAGCCAUAGAGGUUGCAAAUGAAAUUCACUGUAGUGAUUUCAGCUGAUAAGUCUCAACUUCUUUCCCUUCAUUUGCUGAAGUUCUCUCCCGCCCCCUCCAGUUUUAGCCCUACAGAAUAAUGAGAAAACAGUUAAAUUGGGCUAGCAGCGGGUUUCAACUGAGAUUUACUGCGUUCUCAUCUUCCCGAGGGACCAUAAAACCACCCCUGACAUCUCAUUCUGAAAUCUCUUGUGUUAACAGAUGGGUGUGGCAUGAAAAGGGAACUCUGGAUUCAAGUGACAGACAAGUUCUAUACUUUGAAAAAGAGUCCUUAAGAAGGCUUUCUGCCAUCAGCUGGGGACCUCCCCAGCAAUCGUUACCACGCCAUCUCCAACACACUCCUGCAAAACACUCUUAAAUUUACCUUAAAUAUUUUAAUAUUUCCCUCUAAAUUUUACUUUCAGUUUAUAAAA
This is a non-coding RNA of Peromyscus maniculatus bairdii (prairie deer mouse), 2443 nucleotides long. NCBI's taxonomy places the organism in Eukaryota, Metazoa, Chordata, Mammalia, Rodentia, Cricetidae. The record is from RefSeq and is a predicted model, not a curated record.